This 261-nucleotide unclassified non-coding RNA is filed under the name fungal sp. RNAcentral's name for it is "partial internal transcribed spacer region". The stretch from base 1 to 46 matches the Rfam family "Eukaryotic small subunit ribosomal RNA", at positions 1786 to 1831 of the family's 1831-position model. The record is from RNAcentral. Lineage: Eukaryota; Fungi.
AAGUCGUAACAAGGUUUCCGUAGGUGAACCUGCGGAAGGAUCAUUAAUGGAACUGCUUUGGAAUCCGUAGGAUUUCCUCAGGAGUGCUCCACUGUCCUGUGUUGUGUGACUGUGUAUAUGUGUGUGAGUGCAUCAUCUGUGGUGCACUCAUAUCAUCAUUGUUUACCAAUCAACUGUAACCUCAUCUAAUUCUUACAAGCAUGCUCAGCAAUGAGUGUGCACAACAAUCGAAAACUGCCACCAAUGGAUCACUUGGUUCUC